This 434-nucleotide ribosomal RNA is filed under the name uncultured bacterium. Its description in RNAcentral is "bacterial SSU rRNA". It matches the Rfam family "Bacterial small subunit ribosomal RNA", at positions 355 to 786 of the family's 1533-position model. The record is from RNAcentral.
UGAGGAAUAUUGGUCAAUGGGCGGGAGCCUGAACCAGCCAAGCCGCGUGAGGGAGGAAGGCCCUAUGGGUCGUAAACCUCUUUUGUCAGGGAACAAAAAGCGAGUAUGUAUACUAGUCUGAGUGUACCUGAAGAAAAAGCAUCGGCUAACUCCGUGCCAGCAGCCGCGGUAAUACGGAGGAUGCGAGCGUUAUCCGGAUUUAUUGGGUUUAAAGGGUGCGUAGACGGCGGUGCAAGUCAGCGGUAAAAGCCCGGGGCUCAACCCCGGCGAGCCGUUGAAACUGCAGUGCUAGAGAAGGCGAGAGGUACGCGGAAUGCGCAGUGUAGCGGUGAAAUGCUUAGAUAUUGCGCAGAACUCCGAUUGCGAAGGCAGCGUACUGGCGCCUGACUGACGCUGAGGCACGAAAGCGUGGGGAUCGAACAGGAUUAGAUACC